GCACCUGAAAUAAUACUGUCAGGUAAAGAUGUCAA
This 35-nucleotide small RNA is filed under the name Bombyx mori (domestic silkworm). RNAcentral's name for it is "ovarian small RNA-16325". Lineage: Eukaryota; Metazoa; Arthropoda; Insecta; Lepidoptera; Bombycidae. The record is from RNAcentral.